AUGACUUGUUGUGUCAUCCUGCACAAUAUGAUUCUUGAAGAUGAGAGAGGAAUGAACUUAGAAUUCUUUUACGACAAUGUGGGUAGCCGUGUCAAACCAGUUAGAGACCCAAACCGCAUUAGAGCUUUUCUUCAGACAUAUAAGGAGAUUGAAAAUGCAGACAAACACUUUCAACUUCAGGAAGAUCUCAUCGAGCACCAUUGCUGA
Molecule: ribosomal RNA, 207 nt
Filed under: Triticum aestivum (bread wheat)
Lineage: Eukaryota; Viridiplantae; Streptophyta; Magnoliopsida; Poales; Poaceae
Description: partial small subunit ribosomal RNA
Source: RNAcentral